CAAAAACAUAGCUUUUUGGUGAAAAUAAAAAGUAGGGUCUGCCCAGUGAGUAAUUUUAACGGCCGCAAUAUUUGUGCGAAGGUAGCAUAAUCAUUUGUCUUUUAAUUGAUGACUGGAAUGAAUGGCUGGACGGGGAUAAGCUGUCUUAUAUAUAUAUAUUUGAAAUUUACUUUUAAGUAAAAAGGCUUAAAUGGUUUAGAGGGACGAGAAGACCCUAUUGAGUUUAAUAGAAUUUAUUUAAAUUUUUCUUAAAUUUUUAUAUAAUCUAUUUAGUUGGGGAGAUUUGAUAUUAUUAACUAUAUAAGAAUUAAUAGACUUUAAGUUUUUAGGAUCCAUAUUUAAUGAUUACUAAGAUAAAUUACCUUAGGGAUAACAGCGUAAUAUUUUUUUAGAGUUCAAAUCGAUUAAAAUGAUUACGACCUCGAUGUUGGAUUAAAGAACCUAAUUUGGAGAAGAUUUUAAUUUAGGUAGUCUGUUCGACUAUUAAAUCUUUAC
This 495-nucleotide ribosomal RNA is filed under the name Nymphon sp. 1 ARM-2007. RNAcentral describes it as "partial 16S ribosomal RNA". It matches the Rfam family "Bacterial large subunit ribosomal RNA", at positions 1808 to 2599 of the family's 2925-position model. The record is from RNAcentral. Lineage: Eukaryota; Metazoa; Arthropoda; Pycnogonida; Pantopoda; Nymphonidae.